This is a long non-coding RNA of Mus musculus (house mouse), 660 nucleotides long. RefSeq annotates it as predicted gene, 52318. NCBI's taxonomy places the organism in Eukaryota, Metazoa, Chordata, Mammalia, Rodentia, Muridae. The record is from RefSeq and is a predicted model, not a curated record. The transcript has 2 exons.
CAUCUUGUUCCCUCUCCAGAGCCUGCAUCAUCUGCAGCUGGCUUAGAGGAGACACAGGCCAAAACGACUCACUCCCAGCAGGACCCUAGAGAACAAACAAGGACCCUGUGCCUUCAGUGCCCUGGGGCUGAGAAGAGGGAAAGGCCAUGGGCAGAGUGACUUCCUCACCAAAUACUGCACCAGGGGUCCUUGCGGCAGCAGCUGCAGCUGAACAAGGCUCAGGAAGUUGGUGGCUACAAAGACGUGGGGGCAGCUGGGUCCCAGUGCUAGCCAGUGACGGAGCACAGCAGCCAGAAGUGCCAGGCCAUCCACCUGUCAAAGGGCAGAGGUGAGAGGGCAGAGCCAGGACAGCUGUGUCCUUCUGUAGCUGUCAUGGCUUCUCCUCCCCUCUGUGCACGCAUCCCCCUUUCUUCCCUGAGGUCAGUCUCCUGCUCCCGUUUCUCAUUUUCCUCCAUCCCCCCUCCUUAGCAUCUCUUCAUUUUCCUCCGCACCGAGUUGGUCCCCUUCCCGAAUUCAUCGAUCAGGACCAGCGAGUGCUCUGUGGCAUUGUUCACUGCUUUCGCCACCUGCUGGGCAUGAAGGGGACAAGGGAGCUUCCUUAGCGGUCAGGGCUGUGAUGUGUCAUCAUGAAUAAACUCCUUACAUGUGUCUACCCCUAAA